AACAACUUGGCUCGGUUUGUGGUGAUCAUAUGGCUUUUUGUGGUGCUGAUUCUUACUCAAAGUUACACAGCCAGCUUGACUUCAAUGUUGACAGUUCAACAGCUCAACCCAACCAUCACCGAUAUAAAUGAGCUCAUAAAGAAGGGGGAGCGUGUAGGUUGCCAACAUGCCUCUUUCGUUCAUGAAUUCUUGAUCGAAUCGAUGAAAUUUGAUGAGUCCAACCUUGUAAUCUAUGAGUCAACAGAAGUACUGGAUGAAUUAUUUUCAAAAGGUAGAAUUGCUGCCGCAUUUGAUGAAAUCCCUUACAUUAAGCUUUUCCUUGCAAAAUAUUGCUCCAAAUACACUGCAGUUGGACCAACAUACAAGUUUGAUGGGUUUGGAUUUGUAAGUACUCUCUCAUAACACACGUACUUGUAUGAAUUUUAUACCGAGGUUUCUUAUUUUUGAUCAUUUUUCAGGUGUUUCCAAAGGGUUCACCCCUUGUAGCUGAUGUUUCAAGGCAAGUCUUAAACGUGACUGAGGGAGCUAAAAUGCUACAAUUUGAGAAGGCAUGGUUUGGGCAAACACCCAGUUGUCCAGAGCUCACCAGCUCAGUUUCUUCAGACAGCAUCGGCCUUAAUAGCUUUUGGGGCCUAUUCCUCAUUGCUGGAAUCGCUUCAUUUGUAGCUCUCAUCACAUGCAUCACCACAUUCCUUUAUGAAAAUAGAGAUGCAUUAAUAAACUUGAAUUCCCCAUCUUCCAUAUGGAGAAAAAUUAAAGCCAUGGUGACACGCUUUGAUGACAAAGAUCUUAGGUCCCAUACUUUUAGAAAAAGUGAUCAACUUCAAGACAAGCGGCAUCAAAGCCAUGGAUGCAGCUACACCAACUUCCCUCCAAGUCCAUCGAGCCUUUUGCUCCCAACACACAACAAUUUUUCUUUCUUCAGAGAACAAGGAACACCUUCUUCUGGACAUGCUGAUCCAGUCGGUCCAAAUCGGCCCAUGUCUCCACAUAUAUUGUUUGGAUAUGAGCUUGCUAAUAUAAAUCACGAGCAAACAAGACCGCUUGUAAUUGAAUGACUGAUCGAUCAAUUCGUUUUUCCUGUGUUAUUUAUGCCGAUGGCACCAUUAACCACAAAUAUGAAUUUCAAAAAAAGAAAAAAAAAAGAAAAAACAAAAAUGUAGUUGUGCUAUAGCCAUAGGCAUUUCAGUUAAAUGCCAUCUAUUUGCUAUGAACAAUAAUUCAUCACUAAGAAAUUAUUUUGCUAUGAAAUAAAUGUUAUUGCAAAAAGUCAUUGCUUACCAUAAAAAUAUUGUCUUAGCUAAAAGCGUUAUAAAAAAUGGAGAAAUUUGUUGUAAUGAAUUUUCCAAAAGCUUGCCAGCCGGAUUAGUUUAAUCCAAGAUGGGAUUGAAAAGGAUGAUCGAAGUGGAACAGACUGGACCUUCCGUUUAUGGUAGGACUAGGACAGGGAGGUCCAGUUUUCAAACCAUGGCAGAUAUGACGCAUAACAUUGUUAUAAAAUCUAUAUCAACCAAUGGUUCCUACAUUUUUUACAGGACAUAGAUGACCCGUUACUCAGCCAUUACUUGCACAUGCUUUUUCAUUUUUCUCUCUUUUUUUUUUUUUUUUUGACUUUUUUAAAUGAAAAUCAAAUUUAACCUUCCCACAUUGAUAAUUGCCUUAAAUUCCGUCAAAUUCACGAAUUUAUUGCCGCCUAACACAACAGCUCAACUUCCUGUGCCUUAUCGGCAUAAAAAUAAAUAAAUAAAGAUUGUCCUUGCACUACAUGGUUGACAUUGCUUCGCCACACCCAAGAUCGUUUAUAUAUAUAUAUAUAUAUAUAUAUAUAUAUAUAUAUAUAUAUAUAUAUAUAUAUGGAGUUUUAAAACUACCCACAACUGCCACUAUUAAAAUAAAAUUUAAAAAAACAUAAUUCCUAAUUUUUUUUAAAAAAAAAAAGGAUAAAAAUGAUUCUGGAUACUGUUCCAAAUAAUAAUAAAAUAAAAUAAAAAAGGAAAAGGAUAAGAGCCAUAUGGAAAAUAGGUGCAAAGUGCACCCACCUCUGUAGGAACUUUUGGACUCAAUUGAAAUGGACAAAAAUAAAUAAAUAAAUAAAAUAAAAAAUGGAAAAGAUGAGUGGAAUAGAGGAGCCACAAUUUUCUAGUUAUGGUUUCAAAAAAGCCCUUUUCCAAGACAAAUAAAGUGGAAUAUUAUUCUAAGAUUUUUUUUUUUAAGUAAUAAUAAUACAGAAAAGUUAAAUAUGUUUUAAUCUACUUAUUAACAUCAAAGUUGAAUUACUCUUGUUACUUUUUGAAAUAAUAAUAAAUGAGUAUCUUCUCGAAUUUUUUUUUUGAAGUAACAAUAAUACAAAAAAUUUAAAUAUGUUUUAAUCUACUUAUUAACAUCAAAGUUGAAUUACUCUUGUUGGUUAGAACUUCUCUUAUGCUCACUUGAAGCCCAAAUUCAAGUUUUGAUGCCCUCCUUUGUAUUACAAGUAUCUGUUACUCAUAAAAAAAAAUAAUAAUAAAUGAGUAUCAUGCCCUCAUUUGUAUUACAAGAUUAAAAAAAUGAGGGUCUUAAAUAAAAUAAUAAUAAUAAAUGCGUAUCAUGCCCUCAUUCUUAUUACAAGAUUUAAAAAAUGAGGGUCUUAAAUAUGAGUAUCUAUUACUCAUUGAAAAAAAAUAAAAAGAGAUGAGGGAUUGUCCAUGAAGAGGCUUGAUCCUUUGACUAUAGGUAUAAGAGUCUUGUACUCUACCACCUAAGCUAGAUGUUUUUUGUUUUCAUAAAAGACUGGUUAUUGAAAACAACAUCUAGAGUUAUGGAAGACAUUGUGCAUAAUCCUAAUAUUGUUGUUUCUUUUAGUUUUAAGAGUGAAGAUUAGUUCUUUUUCUACAUGUUACUUUUUUAUGUUUUGUACAUGAAAUGUAAAUAUCUUAUAUGCAAGAUAUGACAUGAAUAUUUAUUGUUUGAUAAACGAGUAUGUCUUUUAUUUACAUGCAUGUCUUCAGUUCUUUUUUAUAUGUUAUUGAUACAUGAAAGUUGUAUAAUAUUUUUUUAUGGAGUGGAAGGUUUUAGGCUAAAAAAAAUUAAUUAACUUCUUGCCUAAAAUUAGAAAUACUUGCAUAGAUUGUUUCUAAUUUGUAAUAAUUAAAAUUGUAUAUGGGAGUUAAUUAAGAACAUAGUGAACUUUCGUUUCUAUUGCAAUUUAAGGUUAUUACAUAUUAGAAGAUGAUUAGAGCAAGUAAAAGUAUCAAUAUCCCUAAAAGUACUAAUUAAUAAAAUUAUGCAAUAUCUCUAAGUAGUUGAAUAUAUUGACUACAAUUAGGAACAUCAUAGCAAAAUUAAAUAAGGAUGAGAAACUAAAUGGCGAUAACUAUGAGGUUUGACAUCACAAAGUUCAGUAUAUCCUUAUAGAGCAAGAGGCUCUUGAAAUACUGAAUCAUGUCAUGUAAGACCCUAAAUAAGGAAACUCUGCUCAAUAUAGAAAAGAUCAAGAGGCUUAUAUGGCUUAGAAGAAAUAGAGUUGUCUUCCUCUCAAAUCAUAAUAUCAUAUUAUAUUUUAUUAUUAUAUUAAAAAAAAAUCUUAUAAACAAGGUUUUGUACCGUGUUUGAUUGCUGACAGUAGAGUAGAAAUUUAUUCAUUCAUUUAAAUGCUUGUUGAUCGUUUGAGCCUACCUACUCUUGAACUUAGUUGUAGACCUCUUAAAAAAUGAAGAAGUGGAAGCCACAAUAGGGUCGAGAUCAUUGACGUAGGCCAACUUCAUGAUCAACCUUGGAAGCAAAGCUCGAGUGUCCAUCAUUUCAUUUUCUUCAACAAGUCCCUUUCUUUCUCCGCUUCAGAGUCAAUAUUUUAUCCAAGCUACCCUAUAUGACUCAACUCAAGUACCGGUAAUAAGGGCAUUAGUCUAGGCCUUUGGAUGGAGAGAAGUUGUGCUUAUCUAUGAGGACAACGAGUAUGGGAAUGGAGUUAUACUAUCUCUGACUAUUGCCAUGCAGGAGGUGGACACACAUGUGACUUAUCGAAGCUUCAUUCAUCCGUUGGCAACUAAUGAUCAAAUCGUUAAAGAACUUUACAAGUUAAUGAUGAUGUCAACUAGGGUUUCCAUUAUGCAUAUGCUUAAGCCUCUUGGCUCCCAACUUUUACCUAAGCAAAUGAGGUUGGAAUGAUGGAAAAAGGCUAUGUUUGGAUACUAACUGAUGGGAUAACUAACUUCUUGAGUACCUUGGAUGAUUCAGCCAUUGAUUCGAUGCAAGGGGUGUUGGGUGUCAUGUGACGCCCCAAGACCCACUCCAAGGGCUGACGGUCAUUUUACACCUCAAACCCGAAGGCUUACAGUGUAACCUAACCCAAACAAUUAUCUUGUAAUUGGAAGUUACCAAUUACCAAAUAUCUGUUCAGAGUAGUGGAACAAAAUCUAAAAUCCUCAAAAUUCAAUUUCAAAACUAAAACAUUCACUAUCCAAAAUCCAUUGUCCAAAUAUUUGCAAACUUAAACAAUUCAAGUACUAAAACAAAUUUCAAAAUCUCCAACACUCAACUUUGAUCUAACAUAAAAUUUGAAGGAUCAAUAUCCAAAUAACUUCCAAAUACCAAGGAUCCAAAUGAACAUAACUAACAGUUAAACAAAAUCCAACAUAAAAUCCUAAGUCAAAUCCUAAUGAUGACCAUUCCUCAGCCUAGCCAUCACUCCUCACCCGAACUAAGGAUACCUGAAAAUUUUUCAACAAUUGGGAAUGAGCUCACAACCCAAUAAGGAAUAUUAAUGCAGUUCAUGGAUCAAAUAUUUUCAUUUCAAAUAGGAGAUAUCAUUUUUUUUUCUCAUCAAAUAUCAGAGUUUCAAAAAUACCAAUAUAUUCAAAAUUCAACCAACCAUUUUCAUAUCAAAUUCAAACACUUUCACAUAAGAUUCAAUCAAAUCCAUUCAAUUUUCAUUACUCUGGUUAUCAAAUAUCAAAUGCCCAGUUAGGUGGGACUUUUCAAAUGGGUGGCUAGCCUCAAAUUGUUCCUGGUGGACGGAACCAAGCACUACUAGUACUAGUAACCUCUAACCAAACCCCUAGAGGCUGGGGUCCAAAUCAAUUACAUUCCCACCAUGAAAUGUAAAGGUCAACUAUUAUAUCCCGUUAACAUGGCCGAAUAGUCAACUAUUAUAUCCCGUUGACAAGGGCCAAAUAAACUAGAGUGAUGUUUUUGUUCAAGUAUUCAAAUUUACACAACAUAAUAUCUCCAUAUUUUGUGUCAUAAAUAAAACAAAAUAUUCCAACAUAAUAUUUAGUGCAAAACAGUUUGAUCCAUGCAUGGUAACAAAAUAUCAUUUUCUUUUCCACAAUUCAAAAUAACAUAUAAAAUAAUUUAAAUUUUAUAAAUAUUGCAUUAACUUCCCUUACCUCAAAAGAAGUCCUUGAAAGCUUGAGAGAAGAAUAAUUCUGAAAAAAAAAUCUACUCUUCACCUAAUAUAACAUAAGAGAAACAAUUAUUACUAUUUAUUUAUAAUUUAACUAAUCUAUUUCUUAUUUAAAUAAAACUAAUAAAUUCCCAAUUUGUUUCUAAUAACACAUUACUAAUUUAAUUAAAUUACAAUUUUAUUUCAUUAUAAAAUUCUAUAUAUAUAUAUAUAUAUAUAUAUAUAUAUAUUGCUAAAUCUCUCAUUCUAUUUAUUACAAAAAAAAGACUAUUAUUACUAUUAUCUUAAUUAUUAAUCUAAAACUAAAUAUUAUUAUUUUAAUUAACCAAUUCAAAAGCCACUCAACCAUUACCUAGUUGUCUCAGGUACACCAAACCCAAAAGCAAGUUUUUUUUUUUCAUUGCCAUCAUCAUGAUUCAUUUUAUAUAUAUAUAUAUAUAUAUAUAUAUAUAUUCCUUCCAUUUGGCACACGCCCCCUUUUCUUUUCUUUUUUUUUCUCCUUGCUUCCAGUAACACAGUACACGCGUACAACCCUUUUUUUUUUUUUCCUUCCUUCCUUCCUUCCAGUGUUGUGCACACGCGUUCUUUUUUUUUUUUUUUUUUUACAUUUUCUAAUCCCUUCAACCACAAAUAAUAAUAUAUUUAUUUACUCCUUUUUUUUUUCUUUUUUCUUUUUUUUUUUUAAAUUAACCCUAACCUAAAAUCGAAACCUUCUAAGGGAUUUUUUUUUUUUCAUCUAAUAAAACUUAAGAUCUCCCAAAUUCCAAUAAUAAAAUCAAAAUCUUAAAUUUUUUUAUUAUUUUGAUUUUAAAACAAAUUAAAAAUAAAAUAAACUAACCCUAAUCUAGAUUUGGGUUUUCCAAAAGAUAUCUAAUGUGUUUGAAAUUAAUCAAUAAAUCUAAAAUAUUAAACUAGGGGUUAGAAUCUUACCUAUAGAGACCUGUUCUUCAACCCUGAAAUCUGACUUCAACCUACGUUCUCUGAAAUUCUGCGAAUAGGAACUCUAUUCAGAAAAGAAUAGGAAGAAAUAGAAUUUCUAAUUUAUACCUAGGGUAUUUAUUCAUAAAAUUACACUUUUACCCCUCUUCCGCUUUAUUAAAUUAAUUAAUUAAUUAAUUAACUAAUUGAAUUAUUAUUAGUAAUUUCCUAAAUUACCCUUAAAAAAAAUACUUGGGCGUUACAUCCUCCCCUCCUUAACAAAAGUUUAGUCCUCUAAACUUGACAUACCUGAGUCUUGAAAUAAUUGAGGAUGUUUUUCUCUCAUCUCUUCUUCUAACUCCCAAGUGGCCUCUCGGAUACUAUGAUUGCUCCAUUGGACCUUUACCAACUUGACAACAGCAUGUCGCAAUACCUUAUCCAUCACAUCCACAAUUUGAACGGGUACCUCUUCAUACGUCAAGUCCUCCGAAAUUUGAAUAGACUCCAACUCCACAACAUGAGAUGGAUCAUAAAUAUACUUCCUCAAGGUUGAAACAUGGAAAACAUUAUGAAUCUUAGAUAGACUUGGGGGCAAGGCUACUUUAUAUGCCAAAGUGCCUACUCUUUCUAAUAUUUCAAACGGACCCACAAAAUGAGGACUAAGUUUUCCUUUUCUCCCAAAUCUCAUCACAGACUUCAUAGGUGAAACUUUCAAGAACACAUGAUCACCCACCUCAAACUCCAAAUCUCGCCUACAAUGAUCAGCAUAACUCUUAUGUCUACUUUGAGCUGCUUUUAAUCUUUCUUUAAUCAAAGCAACUUUUUCAACAGUCAACUGCACAAGUUUAGGCCCCAAAAGUUUCCUAUCUCCAACAUCAUUCCAACAGAUAGGAGAUCGACAUUUCCUACCAUACAAUGCCUCAAAAGGUGCCAUCCCAAUGCUAGCUUGAAAACUACUGUUAUAGGCAAACUCUGCUAAAGGUAAAUGAUCAUCCCAAUUACCUUGCAGGUCCAAAAUACAAUCUCUCAAUAAGUCUUCUAAAACCUGAAUUACCCUUUUUGAUUGGCCAUCAGUUUGAGGAUGGAAAGUAGUACUAAAACUCAACUUAGUGCCCAAAGCUUUUUGUAGACUAUGCCAGAAUCUAGAAGUGAAACGAGGAUCUCUGUCAGACACUAUAGAAACUGGUACUCCAUGCAUUCUCACAAUCUCCUUCACAUAAAGAGAAGCUAAACGAUCUAAAGAAAAGUUGACUUUCAUAGGCAAAAAGUGAGCAGACUUUGUCAACCGAUUAACAAUCACCCAAAUAGCAUUAUUACCCCCUAAGGUUCUUAGCAAUCCUAUCACAAAAUCCAUGGUAAUAUGCUCCUACUUCCACUCAGGAAUAGCAAGUGGCUGCAAAGACCCUACUGGUCGUUGAUGCUCAGCCUUCACCUAUUGACACACUAAACACUGAGCCACAAAUUGUGCAAUAUCACGCUUCAUACCUGACCACCAAUAGUUUUGCCUCAAAUCCUUGUACAUCUUUGUCCCUCCUGGGUGGAUUGCAAACUUGGAACGAUGAGCUUCCUCUAAAAGCUCCCUCCUUAAGUCUUCAUCAUUUGGGACACAAAGUCUAGUCCCAAAUCUCAAGAUCUCAUCAUCUGACAAAACAAAAUCAGGCUUACUGCCCCUCUUAACUUCCUCCAUAACUUGCACUAAUUGGGAAUCAUUCUUUUGUAGGGUCUUAAUUCUCCCAACUAAGUCUGGUUGUACUCUGAAAUUUGCUACAAGUGCUCCUAAGCCCAUAACUCGAAAGUGGACUGGUAAACUCCUCAACUCGUCAAGUAAACUGCCUUUGACAGCCUCUAAUAGCUGCUAGAGAACUAACUGACUUCCUACUCAAGGCAUCAACUACAACAUUCGCCUUCCCAGAAUGAUACUGAAUAAUACAAUCAUAGUCCUUAAGUAGUUCUAUCCAUCUUCUCUGUCUCAUGUUCAACUCCUUUUGGGAAAAUAGAUACUUCAAACUCUUAUGAUCUGUGAAUAUCUCACAAGUUUCACCAAAAAAAAAAAUGUCUCCAAAUCUUAAGUGCAAAAACCACAACAGCUAACUCCAAAUCAUGAGUAGGGUAAUUCCUUUCAUAAGGCUUCAACUGUCUAGAAGCAUAAGCUACAACUCUCCCAUGCUGCAUAAGAACACAACCUAAACCCUGAUGAAAGGCAUCACUAUACACCACAAAUCCUCCUGAACCUGAAAGGAUAGUCAAAAUAGGAGCUAACACUAAUCUAUUCUUCAACUCUUGGAAGCUACAUUCACAAUCAUCAGACCACUCAAACUUAACUCCCUUCUGUGUCAACUUAGUUAAAGGUAGGGCAAUCUUAGAGAACCCUUCUAUAAACCGCCUAUAGUAACCAGCAAGUCCCAAGAAAUUUCGAAUCUCAGUCACAGUACUAGGUCUUCUCCAAUUGGCUACAACAUCUACCUUGCCAGGGUCAACUGAGAUGCCAUCAUUGCUUACCACAUGCCCAAGGAAAGAAAUUCGGUCUAACCAAAACUCUCACUUCUUUAGUUUAGCAUACAACUGCUUAUCUCUGAGGGUCUGUAAUACAAUACUCAAAUGACCCUCAUGCUCCUCUCUACUUCUUGAGUAUACCAAGAUGUCAUCUAUAAAAACCACCACAAACUAAUCUAAAUAGGGUUUGAAUACCUUAUUCAUCAAGUCCAUAAAAGCAGCAGGUGCAUUAGUCAAACCAAAAGGCAUAACAAGAAACUCAUAGUGCCCAUACCUAGUUCGAAAAGUAGUCUUGGGUACAUCUUCCCCUCUAACCCUCAACUGGUGAUAACCCGAUUGAAGAUCUAUCUUAGAGAACACACAAGCACCUUGUAGCUAAUCAAACAAAUCAUCAAUCCGAGGAAGGGGAUGCUUGUUCCUCAUUGUCACCUUAUUCAACUCCCUAUAGUCAAUGCAAAGUCUCAUUGAGCCAUCCUUCUUUUUUACAAAUAGAACAGGAGCUCCCCAAGGUGAAACACUAGGCCUGAUAAAACCCUUGUCUAAUAACUCCUGAAGCUGAACUUUCAACUCCUUAAGCUCCACAGGUGCCAUCCUAUAUGGGGCCUUAGACAUAAGACCUGUUCCUGGUACCAGAUCGAUGGAGAACUCCACCUCUCUCUCUGGUGGCAAGCCAGGCAAAUCCUCUGGAAAGACAUCAGGAUACUCCCUUACUAUGGGUAUGUCUUCCAACUUCAAAUCACUUUCAUUACUCAUCACACUAGCCAAAAAUCCUUGGCAACCCUUCUUGAGCAAGCUACUAGCUCGCAAGGCUGAGAUCAUACGCAGUAGUCUGUCCACAUGCUUCCCUUCAAAGCUAAACUUAGGCUGACCAGGAAUACUAAACGUCACCCUUUUCUCAAAACAGUCAACAGAGGCAUGGUAGGAAGCUAACCAAUCCAUCCCCAAAAUCACAUCAAAAUCCUGAAAGUCAAGGAAUACUAAGUCAACUGGCAUUUCCCUAUAACCAAUCAUCACAAUAUAAUUUCUAAGCAUUCUACUGGCCACAAUAGAAUCUCCCACAGGAGUAGCAACAAUCAAAUCAAAGUUCAUGCUAGCAACAGGCAAACCCAACAAACCAGCAAAAGAUACUCAAACAAAAGAGUGUGUUGAUCCAGGAUCAAUCAAGACUCUAGCAAAUAAGGUGUGGAUUCAGAAAGUACCUGUCACCACAUCAGAAGUGGCCUGAGCAUUUCGAUGACUCAUAGCAAACACCCGUCCUUGGGCUUUGGGUUUCUGUUUAUCCUCCUUAUUUUCCUCUUUAUGCUUCCCAAUGAUGAACUUCCUAUUCUCUGGACAAUCUCUGAUCAAAUGUCCUUGCUUCCCACAACCAAAGCAAGCUCCAGUCUCUCUAUAGCAUGGCCUACCCCCAUGCUUCUUACCACAAGUAGGACAAGCCCCAUCUAAAUUUUGUGCUGCCUUCCCUUUAUUCUGAUUUCUUCCUGAUGUAGACUUUCGCUGUGCUUGAUUACCAUGAGCCCUUUGUUGUUCCCUAUACUAAUGAAGCUCCUCAUUAUCUUUUUCUGCUUUAAGGGCUCUGUCAACAACCUCUGAAUAGACACCAAGCUUCAGAAUAGAUAUAUUGUUCUUCAAAUAAGGCUUCAAUCCAUCCUGAAACUUUAAUGCCUUUUCCUCCUCUGUAGCAAUCAACUAUGGGGAAAAACGUGAUAACUCUGUAAAUUUGGCCUCAUACUGAGCCACAGUCAUAUCCCCAUGUUCCAAACGAAUAAACUCUCCCACCUUCUGCCGCCUAACACUGUCAGGGAAAUACUUCUUGUAGAAAGCCUCCCUAAAUUGUCUCCAUGUUAUGGGUCCCUGAUCCUCCAAAAGUCUCCUAGUCAUACGCCACCAAUGAUCUACCUCUUUAUCUAACAUAAAACCUGCAUAAGAGGCUUCCUCAGAGCAAUCUAUGACACCAAAGAAUUUCUCCAUCUUAAGGAUCCAAGUCUUUGCCUUUGUGGGAUCUGUAGCACCAGAAAAGUAAGGAGGACCCAAUUUCUUGAAGUCAUCAAAAAAGCUACCCCUAGAAGAUGAAGACUGUACCUGAACAUUAGUCCCAACAGCUCGAGCUUGGCGUUCAACUAAACCAGCUAGUGUCCCAAGAUACCUAUAGAUCCCUUCUGCACUCACGGGAGGCAAACCCUCAACUGGAGGUACAUCAUCAUUAGCCUGACUGUUUUGUGAAGAAUUUGCUCUUCUUGGUGGCAUGAUGUCCUCAAAUUAUAAGGCAUAACUAAAUUAGUCACUAAAGAACCAAUUAGAAAAUUUACAAAUAAAGAAAGAAUUGGAAUUUAUACUAAAUGAAACUAAAACUUAAACAAAUGUGUCACUCAUCUAUCCCCAAUCUAAACCAAUUCAAAUUCCCAUCAAGAUCAAAACCUAGUGCUCUGAUACCACUCUGUCACACCCCAAGACCCACUCUAAGGGCGUGACGGUCAUUUUACACCUCAAACCUGAAGGCUUACAGUGUAACCUAACCCAAAUAAUUAUCUUGUAAUUGGAAGUUACCAAUUACCAAAUAUCUGUUCAGAGUAGCAGAACAAAAUCUAAAAUCCUCAAAAUUCAAUUUCAAAACUAAAACAUUCAUUAUCCAAAAUCCAUUGUCCAAAUAUUUGCAAACUUAAACAAUUCAAGUACUAAAACAAAUUUCAAAAUCUCCAACACUCAACUUUGAUCUAACAUAAAAUUUGAAGGAUCAAUAUCCAAAUAACUUCCAAAUACCAAAAGAUCCAAAUGAACAUAACUAACAGUUACACAAAAUCCAACAUAAAAUCCUAAGUCAAAUCCUAAUGAUGACCAUUCCUCAGCCUAGCCAUCACUCCUCACCCGAACUAAGGAUACCUGAAAAAUUUUCAACAAUUGGGAAUGAGUUCAUAGCCCAAUAAGGAAUAUUAAUGCAAUUCAUGGAUCAAAUAUUUUCAUUUCAAAUAGGAGAUAUCAUUUUUUUUUUCUCAUCAAAUAUCAGAGUUUCAAAAAUACCAAUAUAUUCAAAAUUCAACCAACCAUUUUCAUAUCAAAUUCAAACACUUUCACAUAAGAUUCAAUCAAAUCCAUUCAAUUUUCAUUACUCUGGUUAUCAAAUAUCAAAUGCCCAGUUAGGUGGGACUUUUCAAAUGGGUGGCUAGCCUUAAAUUGUUCCUGGUGGACGGAACCAAACACUACUAGUACUAGUAACCUCUAACCAAACCCCUAGAGGCUGGGGUCCAAAUCAAUUACAUUCCCACCAUGAAAUGUAAAGGUCAACUAUUAUAUCCCGUUGACAAAAGCCAAAUAAACCAGAGUGAUGUUUUUGUUCAAGUAUUCAAAUUUACACAACAUAAUAUCUCCAUAUUUUGUGUCAUAAAUAAAACAAAAUAUUCCAACAUAAUAUUUAGUGCAAAACAGUUUGAUCCAUGCAUGGUAACAAAAUAUCAUUUUCUUUUCCACAAUUCAAAAUAACAUAUAAAAUAAUUUAAAUUUUAUAAAUAUUGCAUUAACUUCCCUUACCUCAAAAGAAGUCCUUGAAAGCUUGAGAGAAGAAUAAUUCUGAAAAAAAAAAUCUACUCUUCACCUAAUAUAACAUAAGAGAAACAAUUAUUACUAUUUAUUUAUAAUUUAACUAAUCUAUUCCUUAUUUAAAUAAAACUAAUAAAUUCCCAAUUUGUUUCUAAUAACACAUUACUAAUUUAAUUAAAUUACAAUUUUAUUUCAUUAUAAAAUUCUAUAUAUAUAUAUAUAUAUAUAUAUAUAUAUUUUGCUAAAUCUCUCAUUCUAUUUAUUAAAAAAAAAAACUAUUAUUACUAUUAUCUUAAUUAUUAAUCUAAAACUAAAUAUUAUUAUUUUAAUUAACCAAUUCAAAAGCCACUCAACCAUUACCUAGUUGUCUCGGGUACACCAAACCCAAAAGCAAGUUUUUUUUUUCCAUUGCCAUCAUCAUGAUUCAUUUUAUAUAUAUAUAUAUAUAUAUAAAAGGCUUCCUUCCAUUUGGCACACGCCCCUUUUCUUUUUUUUCUUUUUUUCUCCUUGCUUCCAGUAGCACAGUACACGCGUACGCCUCUUUUUUUUUUUUUUUUUCCUCUUCCUUCCUUCCUUCCAGUACAGGCACACGCGUUCUUUUUUUUUUUUUUUUUUUUUUUUUUUUUUACAUUUUCUAAUCCCUUCAACCACAAAAAAAAAAAAAUUUAUUUACUCUUUUUUUUCUUUUUUUCUUUUUUUCUUUUUCUUUUUUCUUUUAAAUUAACUCUAACCUAAAAUCGAAACCUUCCAAGGGAAUUUUUUUUUUUUCAUCUAAUAAAACUUAAGAUCUCCCAAAUUCCAAUAAUAAAAUCAAAAUCUUAAAAUUUUUUAUUAUUUUGAUUUUAAAACGAAUUAAAAAUAAAAUAAACUAACCCUAAUCUAGAUUUGGGUUUUCCAAAAGAUAUCUAAUGUGUUUGAAAUUAAUCAAUAAAUCUAAAAUAUUAAACUAGGGGUUAGAAUCUUACCUAUAGAGAUCUGUUCUUCAACCCUGAAAUCUGAUUCCAACCUACAUUUUCUGAAAUUUUGCGAACAGGAACUCUAUUCAGAAAAGAAUAGGAAGAAAUAGAAUUUCUAAUUUAUACCUAGGGUAUUUAUUAGUAAAAUUACACUUUUACCCCUUUCCACUUUAUUAAAUUAAUUAAUUAACUAAUUGAAUUAUUAUUAGUAAUUUCCUAAAUUACCCUUAAAAAAAAUACUUGGGCGUUACAUGUCAAGCCCCAUGUUCCAAGAACCAAAGAGCUUGAAUGUUUUAAAAUCAAAUGGAAAAAAAAAAUCCAAGAAGAAUAUCCAACCAAUGAAAUCUUUGAGCUAAAUAUUUUUAAACUUUAGGCUUACGAUGUUGCUUCUGCACUAGCCAUGGCAAUUGAAAAACUUGGCACGGGAAACUUUAGCCUCCAAAAGACUAACAUUUUCAGAGAUUCAACUGGUUUUGAGAGGUCCAAAUAUUCUCCAUUCACUAUUAAGUACUUGAUUUAAAGGCCUUAGUGGAGAUUUUCAAAUUGGAGAUGAGCAACUACACACAUCAGGUUUGCAGAUAGUUAAUGUGAUUGGUGAAGAGGAAAGAGGGGUUGGAUUUUAGACACCAGAGAAUGGAAUUUUAGGAAGAUCGAAUUCUACUUCUAAGUCCAAUCUAAGAGCCAUUACAUGGCCAAGAGAAUCUACUUUUGCUUCCUAAAGGUUGGGUGUCUCCUACCAACGGAAAGAAGAUGAAGAUAGGAGUUCCAAUGAAAGAGGGUUUUAAUGAAUUUGUGAAGGUGACGCAAGAUCCUAUCCCUAAUACAACAAAGGUCAUUGGUUACUUCAUCGCUUUCUUUGAUGUUGUAAUGGCAACAUUUGCCAUAUGUAGUUCCUUAGGAGUAUGUUCCCUCCGAGAAACCUGAUGGAAUGGUGGUUGCUAGUAGCUAUGAUGAAUUGAUAUCUCAAGUAUAUUUCCAGGUCAUCCAUACUCUUUAGAUUCCCUAAUACACAAAAAUUUUCAUUCAACUAUGGUCAUCAACUGUUAAAUAGAGGGAAACUGCCAUCCUUUUGCAAUGAAAUAUCUCACCAAUUUUACCUCUACUUUUAUGAUGAACAAAUGUAUGACAAUGUGGUGGGAGAUACUACUAUUCUAGCGAACAGGUCUUUGUAUGUAGACUUUACACUACCUUACACCAAGUUUGGCAUAUCAACGAUCAUGCCCAUCAUUGAUAAUAGAAGUAAAAAUGCAUGGGUCUUAAAUAUGAGUAUCUGUUACUCAUUGAAAAAAAUAAAAAGAGAUGAGGGAUUUCCCAUGAAAAGGCUUGAUCCCUUGACCACAAGUAUAAGAGUCUUGUACUCUACCAACUAGGCUAGAUGUUUUUUGUUCUCAUAAAAGAUUGGUUAUUGAAAACAACAUCUAGAGUUAUGGAAGACAUUGUGCAUAAUCCUAAUAUUGUUGUUCCUUUUAGUUUUAAGAGUGAAGAUUACUUCUUUUUCUACAUGUUACUUUUUUAUGCCUUGUACAUGAAAUGUAAAUAUCAACAUAAGCGACAAGUGUGGUGUGUUGCAUCCCUAAGCACUUCGCUUUCAACUUAAUGUGGCAAGAAAUUGAUUACUACUCAAAAAGUGCUAUUUGAUAGCCUAUAAUUAAUCCUUUUAAACACUUUUGAGUAGUAGUUUAGGCCUUUUAACUCAAUUGGCAUGUUAAGGAUCCUUUAAAGCAAUUUUGAUCACUUUGUGUAAGUUUUGGUGUUUUUGUUAGUAUUUUGAUCACCAAAGCAAGUCAAGAAUGAGGAGAGCUAUGAGGAAUCUUGGGCAAAGCUUAGAAUUCAUUUGCCAAGAGUGAAUUCGGAUUGCAAGGAGAAAAAGCAAAGAGAAUCUGCCAUGAAGCCUAUUCUUGAUGACAGUCUUAGCAGCCACUUUUGGAGCACUUUCUGAAGUCCAAAUGAUGCAUGUUAUAUACCAUUUCAAAUCUCAGGAAGUCAACAAUCCAAUUCUUCAAACGGUGUGCAAUUUGGAGUUGAAACGAAGAAGUUACAGCCACUGCAAGUCAAUCACUCUAAAAUGCUGCGGAAUCAGCCUUUUGUUGCGAGAAUUUCGCAGCACUUUUGUACAGUAAGGUGUUUCUCCUUCUGACGAUGCACGAACCAUGCCGCUAGAAGGGAGCUGGGAACCUCAAGGUGGAAGCCAACUUCGUAGCCCUGUGAAGAUAGCUCGGUGUUGCGAAAUAAUUUCGCAGCCCUCUUGGGUGUCUGCGAAAUUUCGCAGACACCAUUUUACUCUUGCGAAAUGGUUCCUGAAGCCUCCCGAAGCUUGCUACCGACAUUGGGAGAUAUUUUCCAUUAGAUUUUUGUUGUCUAAAUCCCAAAAUACUCCUUGUAAACCACCAAUUACAUGAUUCCUUAGUUUUUAAGUUAGUAAAAAGACCAAAUAUCUUUGUAACAAUUAGUUUUAUAUUAAUUUGAUAUAUAUACCUCUCGAGAGCCUGUUCUCUGGGAGGAGUUCCUUCUGUAACCGUUUGGUAAGCAAGUAAAGGUCUUUUCUUUCUACUGCCUUACCUUCUCACUUUGUAUUUUCAUUUUAUUUUUAAGUUAUGAAUUCUCUGAGGAGUUUUCCCCAGAGAAUAAGUAACUAAACCUCCAAUUCCUUGGAGCUAAGGUUGUCGGGGAAGGUUCCAAGUGCAAGAAUGCAAAGCUUUGUGGUUUUAGCUAGUAAUGAAGAGGAAGUGAAAUCCUUUAGUGAUUUCAAUGUUUUUAGUUAACUUAAAACACCUUAGAGUCACCUGGGCCAACACUUGGUAAGGCAAGUGAUUUCCAACCAUGGAAAUGCACUAGUUUACCCCUUGCGAGCCUCUGGGAGGUGACUUCAGGGUAGGAUUUUCUAGAAUAGCCAACACUUGAUAAGCUUUUGGACUCCUAGGAGACAUCCAUUAGUUAUCUCUUGCGAGCUUUUGACGGGUAAUCCAAGGUUAAAGAUCACCUUGAAUGGUAAGUGCUCGUGAGAGGCAUGAACCAUUGCAAGUUGCAUCAGUGAGAGAAUUAAAGUGAAAUCUAAUUGAAGGAGUCUCUGUACAUCACCGGUUAGAGAAUUGACUCUAAGUUGAAUCUCUAAUGCGAGGAAAUGAACCAUUUGACCGGAGCUAUGUCUUUUGCAUGAGGAACCACCCCAGUGAACCUAAAUCUCCAAGGAAUGUUUUUCUUCCUAAAUUAUUCCAAACUUCUGUUAAGAUAGUUAGUUUAAGUCUCAACCUUUACCAAUCAAAGUUUUUGUUUUAUUUCUUAAGCUAACCUUGAAAUGAAACAAGACCAAUUCACUUGGAAUUGGUAUCCUUGAUUGCUUGUUAAUCAUUCCCAGUGAACGAUCCUAGAGCCACUAUACUAUAGUAGCUUUUUAUUUGCUACCCUAGUGUAUGGUGUUAUAGGUAUAAAUUUUGUUGAUCACUUCCUCAAUCAAGGAGCACCAGCUGAACACAAAUCAGCUGAGACACCAAUUGGGCAUGAAUCAGAAAUAUUAGUAAAAUUUUUAAUAUUCUCCUUGUACUCGGAGCACAAAUUUCACUUACCCUCAUGAUUCAAACAAGGAGUAGAUAACAACUAUGACUUGUUACUUAUUAGUCAUGCUAUUACUGAUUGCCAUCAAAUCACAAAUUAAGGUUAACAUUGUCCUUAAAUGUUCAAUCAUGGUGUGUUUGGGGUCCAUAAUAUAUUGCUCAAACUUCAAAGUGAGUGCUCACAACCUAGUCAUAGAUGUUAAACCAUAGACAAUCUUGACCUUAUUCCACAUGCCUUAAGCAGUAGGGCAGUUCUCAAACUCCUUUAUUAAGUCAUUAUGCAUGCUAUUCAACUUAGUGAAACAUGCACAACAAUCUCUUUUAACCUAAGAAUAAUAAGCUUCCAUAUCGUGGUGGUCGUGGGUUGGAUUCCUUUAUUUGAGAUUACUUUUACAAUUUUACCUUUAUUUUGAGUCACCUAUCCAAAUCGCCCUAAAAAAAAUGAGAGGAAGAAAAUGGGAGAAAAAAAGGGAUGGAGGGAUGACGAAAAUGUCGUCGGCGCCACGCCAUCGACAGUGUGUGGAGGAAGAAAAGGAAAUAGAGAAAACGGUAAAAAAAAAAAUAUAUAAAAAAUGGGGUUGACUGGUGUGUGGGUGUUGGGUUGCAGGGAAAAGAAAAAAAUAAAAAAAUAAAGGAGAUGGGGAGCGAGUCAAGUGUGGUGUUGGGAGAGAGAAGGAAAAAAAAUGAACAGAAAGAGAGCCGGCCACACCCAAAAAAAAUGGAAGAGCCAAAUAAGGAAGAAGAGGUGGGUAGCUUAAAGAAGAAGAAAUCAAAUAAAAAAAGAAAAAAAAAAGUGGAGGGAAAAUGAAAUGGGGGAUGGUGGUCUUGGGAAUGGGGAAGGUAUGGGAGGAGAGAGAGAGAGUGAGUGGGGUAGUUGGGGAAGGUAGGAAGAGAGAGGAGAGAGGAGAAAGGAGAGAAAAAAAAAGAAAAAAAAUAUAAUAUAAUAUGAUAUAAUAUAACAAUAAUAAUAAUAAAAUAAAAUAAUAUACAAAAUAAUAAAAACUAAGAAUUAAAUGGUAAGUAGAUCAAAAAUAUCAUAUGUAAUUAGGAUUUAAAAUUUAAGGAUAAAAUUGAGCUUAAAAUCAAUGUAAAAAAAACUUUAGACAAAUUUUGGAGUCUACACAUAUGUGAUCAAUGCCCCACCAAGACCAAGCCAAGUGAAUAUUAUUUCCAGUUUCUUUUCUCCGAAUGGAACUCAAGUUCAACACUUGGAGAAAAAAGGGAUGGGGGGAUGACGAAAAUGCCAUCGGCAUCAUGCCAUCGAGAGUGUGUGGAGAAAGAAAAGGAAAUGGUGAAAAAGGUAUAAAAAAAAUAAAAAAAAAGUGGGGUCGACUAUUGUGUGGGUGUUGGGUUGCAGGGAAAAGAAAAAAAAUAAAAAUAGAGAGGAGAUGGGGAGAUGGGGAGCCGGUGGGUGUGCUGUUGGGAGAGAGAAGAAAAAAAAAAAGGAACAGAAGGAGAGCCGGCCACGCCCAAAAAAAAUGGGAGAGCCAAAUGAGGAAGAAGAGGAAGAAGAAAUCAAAUAAAAAAAGAAAAAAAAUGGAGGGAAAAUGAAAUGGGGGAUGGUGGUCUUGGGAAUGGGGAGGUAUGGGAGGAGAGAGAAAGUGGGUGGGGUAGUUGGGGAAGGUAGGAAGAGAGAGGAGAGAGGAGAAAGGAGGAAAAAAAAGAAAAUAAAUAAAUAAAAAUAUAAUAUAAUAAUAAUAAUAAUAAAAUAAUAUAAAAACUAAUAAUUAAAUGGUAAGUUGACCAAAAAAUAUAAAUUUAAAAUUGAGUUCAAAAUAAAUGUAAAAAAAAAUUAGGACAAAUUUUGGAGUCUACACAUAUGCGAUCAAUGCCUCACCAAGACCAAGCCAAGUGAAUAUUAUUUCCAGUUUCUUUUCUCUGAAUGGAAAACUCAAGUUCAACACUUGGAUCUCAGACCAUGAUAUUUUAUCUACAGUUCAUGAGUUUCAUUGACCCUGUGCUUCAUCAUCUGGACUAUCCAAUACAAUAUUACAUGAAUUCAAAGAUAUUGAACCCUCAAUUCCAUGCUUAUCACAUGGAGGUCAUCUUGUGUUCUGUAGAAAAAUUAAUAUUCCGAGUUGAUGCGUCUAUGGUUUACACUAGUCUUUCGAGUCUUUUGAGUUUUGACUGUCUCUGCCUGAAAUGCGGGAAAUGCAGGGAAAUAUUUGCUCUCAUGGUUGUGCAUUUGGGACAAAAAUAACCUCAAACUCUGCCAAAUGCUGCCAUCAAGAGCCGGAAAUGUUGAAAUUUCCUACCAGCUAAUACGCCGUUCUGAUGCCAGGAGCUGGUGAUGGAGAUUCAUAGAGAUUCAACCCUAUAUCAUACUAGAGCUAAGCACCUCCACUAGUUAUGAAGGUUGAAGAAAUAGCCAAUUUUUGACACGAUAAGGAAGCUAUGAUACGAGUUUCCAUGAAGGACACCUACGAUUUUUUGUUAUAAGCUACCCUUUGUUUCUUAAUUGUCAAAGAAACAAUGGCUAAUACUUUAUUACAUCACACUGUAUUUUUUGAAGUCUUGAUUAAAAUGACAAGAUUAUUGUUUAAUCGCCUGUUGGUUUGAUAGGAUUGACUGCGACUUUCCUUAGAAAUUUGUUGUGAAAGGAGCAUCAUCAUCUAUAUGGUUCGUAGCAUGAUGUGAGUCCCACAAAACAUACUUUGAUUUGGUCAAGGUAACUAAAUUCAACAUGAGAAAUCGUGACUAGUUAUACACUUCCCACUCCUACGGACCACGCUAAAUAUGAUAUUAUAUGGCUGCUUUUGCUUCUAGGACAUGCAAGUUAUAUGGAUAUUUGGUGCAAUCGUUAUGGACUCGGAACAUCUCCAAUAAGAACUUUUCAAAGUUACAACUUUACAUGGUUAAUCUAAAUUUAUAAAUUAUGAAGUAGUUGAAAUAUUUAGAGUUUUAGAAUCGUUUUGGGAAGAAAGAAAAGAAGAAAAUGAUUACCCUUUAAUCUUCGACAAUAAUUAGAGUUUCUUUUUUAUGUGAAAUAUAUUGGAAUAAAUAUCAAUUCGAAUUCAAUUUGAAUGAAGAUGAGUGUUAUUAAGUUAAAUAUUUAAUAUAUUUGUUUUUUGUUUGAAUUUGAUUUAUAUCUAAACAAGGUUUAACAUUAUUGGGUGUUUAGACAAUUUAUUUUUUAGCAAUGUCUAAAUACUAUUAAAUGGUGAGUUGUAUAUUUUUAUUAAUGUUUGCAUACUGUUAAGUGUUAAUUAAUUCUAUUUAUUUUUACAUAUAAAAAAUAUUUAUAAUAAUAAUUAUUAUGUUUUAUUUUAUUUUACAAAAUUAAGAUAAAAUAUUUUAAAACUCACUAGGAAAUUGGUCAUUGAAUAAUAAUUAAGAUUUUUUAUAUUUUGAAAAUGAAUUAAUAAUUGGUAUGACUGAAUAAUAAUUAGGAUUUUUAAUUGUAUUUGAUUUCUAAGAAAAUAUUAGAGUAUUUUUAGGUUAGGUUUCAUAAUUACUCAUUAAUUUUAUAUGUUAUGUUAUUUGAAUUAAUGAAUUUGUGAUUAAAAUGUGAGGAUUGAUGUUAAGGAUAACGAUUAUACAUUUAACUUGGAUAUGAAGUCGUGAAAUUAAUCAACCACCAUAUGGUCCUACUUGCUUAGUUUAAGGGGAUAUAAGAGGUAUGCUAACCUUGACUUAGGGUUAAAUAAGACAAGAAGAUCAUUUUGAGAGGGUCUUUAUCCAAUAAUAAGAUCACAACCUACCCAAUAUAAGCUUGAUUUUUAUAAUACUAGGUUUCUUUACAAAAGAUACAUAGUCUUAAGAGUUUUACAUUUUGCUAAAUUCAUAUGGUUUGCUUUAAGGUGAAUGCUCAAUUAUUAAUGCAAGUUUAAUUUUUGUAUAACAAUCAUAUCGUAUAAUCCAGUCACUUUCAUUCUUACAAGUAAUAAAUCGGUCAAGCCUAAUUAUGUGGAUUAGAAAAGAAAUCUAAACCUAGUUUUCACACAAGAGGAGUUAAAAUAGGUAAUUUAGGAAUUUGCUUCAAAUACCCUUAAUGAGCAAUCCUCACAGGAAGAAGGAGAUGCUUAUCAUAGAUGACAUAAGGCAAAUCAAAAGGCUAAAUAUAUUAUACUUGGGUCAUUGGAUAAGAUAUUGCAAGAGUAACAUGUGUCUUAUGUCACGACUUAUGAUAUUUUCUUCGAUCUACAAGAGAUCUUCGGUGACAAAGGUGAGCACAAGCUGCUUUAAGGACUAUCAUGAACGCUAGGAUGAUCCAACUCUUUAAUGAGAUAAAAAUCCUUAAAGCUUAUAUUGAUAGGAAAACCAAGGUUGAUUUGAUCUUAGAGAUCUGGUCGGAUUUCUUUAGGAAAUUCGAGCUUAACUAUUUUAUUUAUGAAUGGUUGAGAAACUUGCUAGAGCUUAUGAGAGAGCUUCAAAUGCAUGACUGAGGGAUUUCUUAAAGAUAAGAAAGUAAUGAUUUUAAAAAUUUAAUGUAUAAAAAAUUAUAUUAUCUUAAAUUUUAAAAUUUAUGAAAGUAAGUUUUAAAGGCAUAGAUUAAAUUUAUAUUUUUUAUAUAAAAUAUUCUUCUUUUAUAUAAAAAGUUUCUAUUUUUAAAAAUAAAAAUAGGAAAUAUAUCCAAACAAAUAGUGGAUUUUUUCAUCGUUCUACCAACUUCGUUCCGUUCUCUCACCUUUGUUAUAUCAUAAUGCUGCCAUUUGGCCUAUACUCAAAAUUAGUUCACACAUGUACUUAUUUUUAAGAGCAUCCACACUCUUAUUUGUCAUUUCUUAUUUAAUUCAAAAUUUUAUGCCCAGUAAAAUAAGUUUGGUCCACUAAGGAGAAUAUGUUGAGAGAUUCAUUAAAAAUAUUGAGACUUACUCUGUACUUAUUGUAGCAUUAUUAUUUUGAUUUAGAUGUGAUAUUAUUAUAAUUAUUUUAUUAUGAUUCUAUUUAUUUAAAAAAAUAUAUAAAUGAUAAAAACAAACUGGAGUGGGAAAAUAGGAGUGACUUUCUGCCAUCCCAAGGAGCAUAAAAGUUCCAUGCAUCCACGGUGUACUCUUCUGCUGUCUGUCUUUAUGGAUUUUCUCCGUAGAGAUGGCCAUGUCUCAGAACACAACAAUACCAGUGAAAGUGGGAGUGGUUCUUGAGAUGGACACAUGGCUGGGGAAGAUGGGUUUAGCUGCAUCUCCAUGGCCCUCUCAUAUUUUAAAUAAACAAUGAAUAAUAUAAUUAAAAAAUAGUAAAUGAAUAAUGAUAUAUAGAUUCAAGUUUAUCUUUAAUCAUGUCAAUUCUAAUUCUAAUAUUUUCAAAUUGAUAUGUUUUUAACUUAAUGAAUCUAUAAAAUAUAUCUAUUUUUUGUUAAAAAUAAAUAAUAAUAUCAUAGAAAAAUGAUAAAUGUUAAUAAUAUUUUAUUUAAAAUUAAUUGUAAAAUAAAUAUAAUUGUAGAACCUUUCUUUUUGGACCGGAUAGUGGAGGCCUUCUCUAUAAAGGGGAGUGAGAGGCCAAUAGCAGGAAGAAUGUUCUAUAUAAGGGUGGUUUUUAGGGAGAGAGGAAUGAAGACCAAUGGUAGGGCGAAACGUAGAGGGACUUUUUGAGAGACUCUUUCUUUAGAGUGGGAUUCUGUAGGCCGUGAAAAGGAGAGGGAAGGUUUUGGAGAGAGAGAGGGGACUGGGGGAAAAGGUAGCUUGAGGGGAAAGAAAAGGGGUUCAUAGAGAGAUCUAGAAAGGGAGAUACAGGGGGGAUUUUCUGGUUUUGAGAAAAAGAGAGAGCUAUGAGUCUCCUGAUUUUCUGAGGGGUUUUAAAGAAAGUGAGUUAGAGGAGAAGGAUUCAGCAGGGAGGUUUUUGGGGAUAGCUGGAGAUAGAAUUUCAGAAGAGAAGAAGGAUUCUCUGGCGGGGUAAGAAUCAUGGAGGAAGAGCAUUGAGAAGUUCAGCAAGCUUUGCUACUCAGAGGACUUCUCAGGUAAGUUCACUGGGUAUAUUCUUGUUCACCUUUAUUUUCUAUGUUCUUCAUCUUCACCUCUUGCUGUUUGGAGCUUUGUUUGCUUGUUUGGUCAUGGAUAACAGAGGCUACACAUGAGUUGUGCUGUUUUUUUUAGCUUGUUCAUAUGUUCAUUGUUAUUGUUUCAUCCACUGUUUUUUUUUUAGUAUUAUUUGAACUCACUAAAUCUCUGUUUCAUUUUGCCUUAUUGGGAGAUAUCGGUUGCCUUUUCUUGUUUGAAUCUGUUUGUAUCCAUCCCCACCAAUCUGAGCUCGUUGAAUGAAACAUGAAAUGUGGCUUUCAUUGGUUCAUUCUUGUUUCUUUUCUCCUUGCUCUGUUUUCUUGGUUAUCUUCCUCUGUUUUUUUGUGGGUAUUUCGGGUGCAUGGUAUCAUGUGUAUCACCGGUUGAUGAUGCUAGAGAUUGGCUUGUGGAUGCUGUUGGAAGUUGGUACCCAAGUUUGUAAAAAGGAAAACAGGCUCAGUGGUUUCAUGUGAUUACUGUUUCAUGAGGACGAUUUUUUGGCACUAAGACAUGGGUUACCGGAGAAUGGUGAAUAUAUGGUUUGGGUUUCUUCAGCUUUGGGCCCCUAUUGAGCUUUUCAGCAAGUUAAAACGAACUGGAAACUCUCACCUCUGCUACUUGAACACAGUUUGAUAAUUUUCCUGGUUUUGUGGAUAACACUAAGGGCUGCAAACAACUUACAGGGUUCCUCUUUGACAGUAUGAUAGAAUAUUUAGACACGAAAUACUACAUGCGCUCUGAUUCAGGAUGCAAGACAUGGACUAGACUGCUAUGGUGGAUGAAUGGGAAGAAGUUGAUCAAGUUAGUUGUUGAGGAGGUUAGGAGAUGGGCAGAUUUAGCUGGAAGGGUUUCUAAUGAAGUAAUAGAGUGGGAGAUGAGUCACUCUUUGCGAAAAUGGACUGAUUUUGAGAUCAAGGAGUUAUGCAAAUCAUUGCAGAAAACCAUGAGCCGAAGCUCAAUGCCUACAAAUAUGGUGACUCCGAUGGAGUAAGAAAUGAAACUUUGUGGCUGGAGGAGUCUUCUUCAUGGAACUUAGCAAGGAGUUGACCAGAAAGAUCUCUGCAAUAGAGCUCCAAACAAAUGGGUCUAGCUUUGCGUUGACUGAAGGGGAUCUUUCACAACCCGAAAAAAUCUAAACAGAAUUGUCUUCAAUGUUGCAAAAAAAGGAAGAUUUAACACUGUAAAGCAGGAGCCAUGACUCAGAAAGUUACAGUCCAGUUGUUGGAGGUGUUUGAUUGCAUCUGCCAAGCAAAACCCAGCUCCUGUUUUGAUUUUCUUUUGUACGUGCACUUUUUGGAAAAAGCUGUUACUUUUUGGUACAUUAUAAUGGGACUUCACAUCCAUUAAUCAGGUGCAGAGGGUGGGAUAUACAAAGCUUCAGUGUGUCUUUUGGUAUCAGGGCUUUUCCAAGGUUUGAAUAGUUUGUGGUGGUGUUCUUGACUCGGUAUCAUGACUAGCCUGUCGGGUCCUGAUUCCAGACGAAAAUAUUCUUGGUGAUGGGGCAGCCAUAUAGGUCUCAAAAAUUCCAAAUGGUUUCUGAAAAACCUUACAGAUAUGGAUGCCAAAGUUAAACUAAUGAUCAAGCUUACUCAGGAAGAUGUAGAUUCUUUUACAAGGAGGGCAGAUGAUGUACUACAAGAAACGUUCUGAGCUUAUGAAAUUGGUUGUAGAGUUCUACUGAGCAUACCGUGCUUUGACUAAGAGAUAUGAUCAUGCAAUUGGGGCACUGCUCCGGGCCCAUCAAACUAUAACGGAAGCAUUUCCCAACCAAGUCCCUGCAAAGUCCCAGCCCCAUGCACCAGCCAUUCUCUAUCUUGGGUACAUACAUGAGCGUCAAUAAGCAAGUUUGCUGGAAUACCUCAAGCAUCACAACUGGAAAUAAGGUCAGAUACAACCUACAACUAAAGCUAACCUCUCCACCCCCCGAGAUCUACUUCCACAUGAGAAUGCAUGGCCACCCUCAUCAUGCUAUCUUACGCCCGCAAAUCCUCCCAACAUCUCCCCACAACAUCACGCCCACCGAUCACUUUUCAUACCCACCAUACCCAUCACCGUGCUCACCACCUUCAACUUAUUCCUUUCUUCAUACUUACCACCUUCCUGUCCUCCAUCACUCAUCUCCCACCAAUUCCCCAUGAGCUUCCUUUCUACCAACUCCCUAAGUACAUGCAGCUGUUGCAUUGCAUAGCCACCUUCAAUGCAACUCCCAUGCACGUGUUUUCACUUACCCUCAAGCCCAGGACCCAUCAACCUACCUCAAACCAGUUUGGAGAAAUUCAGUGUUGUCGCUUUAUCAUAGUGGGAGAACAAUGUAGAGGAAGCUCAAUCACCAGGAUCCCAAGGAAUUUGCGCUCUUGGAUCAACUUGAUAAACUUAGAAUGUUCAGUUAAUUAGAUGCUGAUAUUUGUCUUUUAGGUAAUUUGUUGAGUGUUAUGGACGUAUUGUUCGAUUUGGGCAGCUUUAUGGUGAACAUCCUACAUUAACUGUGAUUUUCCCUUACCAAGUUGGACACCAUCAUUCUAAAGAGGAAGUGCUACAAGCGGAACAGGUGAGACUGAAAUGCAUGAGGACCCCUAUAAGAGGUUUGAUUAUGUUGGUACUUAGAACUGCAUUCAAUAUGUGGGUGUUGAUAUUUGGAGCCCUGUGUUCAGGCUGCUAUUGGACAUCCGAUUACUGCAUGUGGAAAGUGGGCUGCUUUCUAAAGGCACUAAAUUGAACAAAUAUCAUGCGAUUGAAUUAGAUGCAAAUGGCUAACGAAAUCAGGUUUGAGAAAGACAGUGUGAAUAAAGGCAGUGUAUGGGUUUUGGAUCAGAAACUUAAUCGACCCAUGGAUGAGAAGGCAAGUAGAAGAACAUCAGAAAAGUGAUUUAGAGAAGCUCCCUUGCGAAUUAUCUAUAUUAUUGGCAUUUUCAUGAGGAUUAUACUCACAUGCUCGUAAACAAAAAGGUCAAGUUGGUGAGUUUGAUUUUCGAUUUCCAGUUGGUAUACCAAGCAUUUAAAGUUCGUAUGGAGUCAAACCCACUGCCUUCGGUACUGCAUGAUCAGACCCUAGCUUUGACCUCCCCAACAAAUCCACCCAACUCAUCAUCCAAGCCCUCACAAUCAGCUUACGCCACAUCACUGCCCACCAAAAACUCCUCAUUUCCAUACGACAUUGGCCACUGUUUGACAUGGCAUUAUUUUCUAUUGAUAGACUUCCAGCAAAUCUCUAAUUGAUUCUGCUUUGUACGAAGCCCACUAAUAUGGACCCGACAACCACCUUUGCUGAUUGUCCCAUGCGUUUGGGUGGGUCUCUAGAGUCUGGAUGAAGCUGUAAAACUGGUGAAGCAAGGGGUGCUUAAGCCUCAGGAUUUCAUAUUCUUUGUUGGAUAUGUUGGGUGGCAGUCGGAUCAGUUGGAGAGAAGAGAUUGGAUCAGACUAUUAGUAUGUGGCUACAUACAGCCCAAACGUGAUCAGUGUGGUCUCAACAGGAUCUUCCUCUGGUCUAUGAGAGGAGAUUUCAUCGUCAAAGGGGUAGUCAUUAUUCUGGACUGAUCGAGAAGCUCAAGCAAGAUAUGUGGUUACCUUUGAGCUUACCGAAUUUAAGAAGUUGAUCCGCCUGAGAUUGCCGAAGUUUGGAUUCUCGUGUGACACAAGUAGAGGAGACAAAAUGAAUGAUCAGACUCAAGAGAACAAGCCCCAUUCCUGCCAGCAUUCCUCUACCUCGAGACUCACUCCCAUAUGGCCACCCUCAGUGCACCACCCAAAGGCCAAGUGGCAUCCUCUUAAUUUUUCAUCUUUUGAUGUUAAAAUUUAAUUUUCAAAACUUCAAUUUUCAAAUUUUAUUUUUCUAAAUAAUUUUAAUUUCACUCUAGUUUUCAAAUAAUUUUAAGUCAUUUAUUUUCUUCUUCCUUCCUUAGGGUUUAGGGUCACCAAAAAUCUCGUUUUUAAUAAACUUGCCACAUUUCCCUUCGGGUAAGUACUUUUACAAAUUUUCUUUAAUUUUAAAAUAAUUUUUCGUUUUUCUCGAUUUUUAAUAAACAUGAAUGAAUUUUCAUAAUUCCACAACAAGGAAAUUUACAAGAUUAAUUCAUACAAAAUCAAUUGGGUUUUGGUGGGAACCCAACAUCUAUGAUAUUUUUCUUUAAAAAUAAUUUGAAUGAAGUGCAUAAUUGACAUUGAUGAUUUCUUGCUUUAUUUUGUGACACAUGCGAUAUAGUUUGUAUUCAUUAUUGUUUACUAACUCCAUUUCAUGAUAGUGCAUUAUUGUUUGCCGAUAAGAUAUGCUCUCACUCUCACUUUGUUUAUUUAUUCUUUGUGACUUCCAUUAUGUGACUAUUCUUUGGUAUCUAUUGAUUUCUUUAUCAAUUGUUACACUUGCCUCACUUUGAUUAGUAGAGACUUCAUUAUAGGGCUUAAAUGAUUGCUACGGUAUUUUACCGUACCUUCCCAAUAGGUAAUUUGACUCCGGACUUAGAUUUGGUUUUCAUAAACCGUGUUUUCUUAAUAAGGAGUUAUACUUAAGGUUUUCUUUCUUAUUUUGUUUUCCCUUUAAAAAUAAAAUAAAAAUAAGUAGCGACUCCAAGUUUCUUUCAAAAAUAAUAUUUUUUUGUCAAAUGAAAAGCGAGUUCGUCAUCGAGUGGGAACUCAUCGCGCAAAAUGCAGGGUCUAUAAUAAUUCUUUAUUUUAAAUUAUGCAAAUAUAUGUAUGAAACUUUGUUAUAUUUGACGGGACCUACAAGUUUCUUCAUCCCGCGGGUAAAGACACGAGCCCAGCUGGGUCUCCUUUAGAAGUUGACUCCAGAGUAAUCCUGCUUCCAGCUGGCUUCUGGUUUCAAAAUUCCAAGUCCUAUAAAUAGAUCUCUUUCUCUCCAAUAUUAGGAGUACCAUAGCUUCCCACAACUACAAGUGCAAAGAUGAGAAAGAACCUUAGCCAACUCCUUACCUCUCUCUUGUUCGUUCUCUUUCCCACGAUUUUCUUCAUUGAAAUGAGCAUGGCACAGAACACAACAAUACCGGUUAAAGUGGGAGUGGUUCUUGACAUGGACACAUGGCUGGGGAAGAUGGGUUUGAGCUGCAUCUCCAUGGCGCUCUCAGACUUCUAUGCCUCUCAUGGGCACUACAAGACUAGGCUGGUUCUGGAAAUCAGAGAUUCCAAAAGGGAUGUUAUGGGUGCAGCUGCAGCAGGUACUCUCGUUUCAUAGAACUUAGAAUACAUUUAGAAAACAAAUGUAGAGACAUAUGGAAGUAAAAAUUACAUUAUCUUGAAAUAUGACUUGAAAAUACAUGGAGAAUCCAUCACCAUAUUGAACUUGAUUGCUUAGUGUAUUUAUAUUCAAUUUUUCAAAAAAAUAAUAACCGGAGAUCUUAUAAUUUCUUACCACUUUAUGACUAGUAAUUACUAAACAUGUCCAUAAAAAUUUUGCCAUUUAAUUAUAAUGUUAUUAUGGAAUUAUCGUGAAUGACGAGGACAACCAUAGAAAGUUACAAGGCAGAAAACCUCCUUUAAGCAACACAAUCCCUGAAAUGCAGCACUGAAUUGAACAGUGAAAGAAAUCCAGAAGCAUCCACCCAGAUUAGAAUUAAUUCGAAAUUUUCACAUUAAGUAAAUUGAUUUGUAGACCAAUUAAGGAUUUUGAUUUUUUGAUUUUUUUUUUUCUCUUUAACUUUAGCUGAUGGGAGUUAUUGUUUGAUAAAUAUAAGAGAAGUUGAGGAAAACGAGUGUUCAAAUUGAACCGACGUUAGAAUGCCCAUCGAAGACGGCAAAAGUUUAGUCAAAUUGUACCCCGCGUUUUCAACUAAGCAACAUUUCUUUUCUUCACGAGGAAGACUUUUCUUUGUUAACCACACGAUGGUUAAAAGACGCAAAAGUCUCCAUGAAUUUAAUUUCCCCCUUGGUUUAAAAGUGACGCGUAUGACCUAUGGCACUAAGAAAUAAUGAGAUGUAGAAUGGAAGGCAUAUAAAAAAAUUAAGGUUAUCUCCACUUUUCUGGUAUAACAAGAUUGAUGAUUUUUUCACGAAUUCUAGAAUUCAUGGGACCAAGGGGAUGUAUUUUCCUUUUUUGUGCGUACCUUGUUUGAUUGCUGAUAAUAUAGUAGAAAUAGAAUGAAACAUUAGAAUCAUAAAAUUUUAAUGAUUGUGAAAUUCAGCUCUAGAUUUAUUACAAAAUGAGGAAGUUCAAGCCAUCAUAGGACCAGCAUCCUCCAUGCAGGCCAACUUUGUGAUUGGUCUCGGAGACAAGGCUCAUGUGCCCAUCAUUUCAUUUUCCGCAACUAGUCCUUCCCUUUCUUCGCUGCGGAGUCGAUAUUUUGUCCGAGCCACACUGAAUGACUCAGCUCAAGUACCAGCUAUGAGGGCAAUUGUCCAAGCCUUUGGGUGGAGAGAAGUUGUGCUCAUUUACGUGGACAACGAGUAUGGAAAUGGAGUGAUACCAUAUCUUACUGAUGCCUUGCAAGAGAUUGACACCCGUAUCUCCUACCGGAGCGUCAUUCAUCCAUUAGCCACUGAUGAUCAAAUCCUCGAAGAGCUUUACAAGUUGAUGACGAAGCCAACCAGAGUUUUCAUUGUACACAUGCUUACACCUCUAGGCCCACGGCUUUUCACCAGAGCGAAUGAGAUUGGAAUGAUGAAAGAAGGUUAUGUUUGGAUUCUAACUGAUGGGUUAACUGAUAUCUUGAGUACUUUGGAUCCAUCUGUCAUUGAUUCAAUGCAAGGAGUGCUGGGCGUGAAGCCUCAUGUUCCAAGAUCGAAAGAGCUUGAAAGUUUUAAAAUCAGAUGGAAAAGGAAAAUUCAACAAGAAUAUCCAACCAAUGAAAGCUUUGAGCUGAACAUUUUUGGACUCUGGGCUUAUGAUGCUGCUUCUGGGCUAGCCAUGGCAGUUGAAAAACUUGGGCCAACAAACUUCAGCUUCCAAAAGUCUAAUACUCACAGAAAUUCAACCGAUCUUGAUACUGUAGGAGUCUCCCAAAUUGGUCCAAGUCUUCUCCAAUCACUAUUAAGUACUAGAUUUAAGGGCCUCAGUGGACACUUUCAAAUUUUGAACAGGCAACUACGUUCAUCAGCUUUUCAGGUGGUCAAUGUGAUCGGCAAAGGGGAAAGAGGGGUUGGAUUUUGGACACCAGAGAAUGGAACUGUAAGAAAGUUACAUUCUACUUCCAAGGCCAAUCUAGGAACAAUCGUAUGGCCAGGAGAAUCUCCCUCCGUUCCUAAAGGUUGGGUCCUUCCCACCAAUAAGAAGAAGAUGAGAAUAGGAGUACCAGUCACCAAGGGUUUUGGUGAAUUCGUAAAGGUGACACGAGAUCCUAGCACUAACGCAACGGAGGUCACUGGAUUUUCCAUAGCAGUCUUCGAUGCAGUGAUGGCAGCAUUACCAUAUGCUGUUCCUUAUGAGUACAGUCCCUUCCAGACGCCCGAUGGCGAUCCAGCGGGUGAUUACAACGAUUUGAUAUAUCAAGUAUAUCUCCAGGUCAGUUAAUCGAACUCUUUACCUUUCCUGGUGCAUAGUGGUAACUCUAGGUUUAGCUUCAAUUAUGAUGGAGUUUGUCAAAAUAAAAACCAAACCUGCAGCAUAUUUUCCCGUAAUGCAUAACAGAAUGCCCCAUUGUUUAUUGUGAACAGAAGUAUGAUGCUGUGGUGGGAGAUACUACUAUUCUAGCGAACAGGUCCUUGUAUGUAGACUUUACACUACCGUACACAUAAUCUGGGGUGUCAAUGAUCGUGCCCAUCGUAGAUAGAAGAAGAAAAAAUGCAUGGGUUUUCUUGAAGCCACUUACUUGGGACCUUUGGGUGACAAGCUCUUGUUUCUUUGUAUUCAUUGGCUUUGUGAUUUGGGUUCUUGAACAUCGAGUAAAUAAAGAUUUCAGAGGGCCUCGUUCACAUCAAGUUGGCACUAUCUUCUGGUUUUCAUUCUCAACAUUGGUGUUUGCUCAGAGUAAUUUCUCUUCCACCUCCUUGAAUUUUAUCCAGCAACUUAUCUACUCUUGUAAUAUUCAAAUACUCAUGAUACGAAGCAUAUUGAGCACAUCUCAAACACAAUCGAAACUAACUUCUAGUAUGGCCUGCUUGCUUGUUUCCCAUGAUUACAACCUCUAUUAAUAUAUGGACAUUCCAUACAAUAUGCAAGUAAAUUUCAGGGUAAUUUUUAUGUUUAAGAAAUUAUAUAUAUUUGUCUUUAUAUUGAUUUUCUGGAGUUGAUUUUUCCAUUUCACUCUUAAAUUUUGUUAACAGAGGAGAGAAUUGUCAACAACUUGGCUCGGUUUGUGGUGAUCAUAUGGCUUUUUGUGGUGCUGAUUCUUACUCAAAGUUACACAGCCAGCUUGACUUCAAUGUUGACAGUUCAACAGCUCAACCCAACCAUCACCGAUAUAAAUGAGCUGAUAAAGAAAGGGGAGCGUGUAGGUUGCCAACAUGCCUCUUUCGUUCAUGAAUUCUUGAUCAAAUGGAUGAAAUUUGAUGAGUCUAAGCUAGUAAUCUAUGAGUCACCAGAAGAACUGGAUGAAUUAUUUUCAAA
RNAcentral lists this long non-coding RNA (31256 nucleotides) under Vitis vinifera (wine grape). RNAcentral's name for it is "long non-coding RNA (VVIN_LNC001002)". The record is from RNAcentral. Lineage: Eukaryota; Viridiplantae; Streptophyta; Magnoliopsida; Vitales; Vitaceae.